RNAcentral lists this transfer RNA (72 nucleotides) under Clytia hemisphaerica. Its description in RNAcentral is "tRNA-Gln for anticodon UUG". It matches the Rfam family "tRNA". Rfam says of the family: Transfer RNA (tRNA) molecules are approximately 80 nucleotides in length. Their secondary structure includes four short double-helical elements and three loops (D, anti-codon, and T loops). The record is from Rfam by way of RNAcentral. Lineage: Eukaryota; Metazoa; Cnidaria; Hydrozoa; Leptothecata; Clytiidae.
GGUUCUAUGGUGUAAUGGUUAGCACUCUGGACUUUGAAUCCAGCGAUCCGUGUUCAAAUCUCGGUAGAACCU